Molecule: long non-coding RNA, 1430 nt
Organism: Erinaceus europaeus (western European hedgehog)
Lineage: Eukaryota; Metazoa; Chordata; Mammalia; Eulipotyphla; Erinaceidae
Exons: 3
Source: RefSeq, a predicted model, not a curated record
UACUGCCCCACCCAUCUCUCUCAAAUAAGAGUGGUGGCACUCCUGGCUAAGCACACAUGACAGGACACAAGGACCUGGCUUCAAGCCCCUGGUCCCCACCUGCAGGGGGAAUGCUUCACGAGUGUUGUAGCAGGGCUGUGGGUGACUCUCUGUCUCUCUUCUCUUGACUUCUGGCUGUCUCUAUCCAAUAAAUAAGUAAAGAUAAUAAAGAAAUAACAAGUGAGCUACUUGUUGUAGGCAGCAGUCACUGAAGUGCCACGGUCCCUCCACACUGUGUGGGAACCACUCCUCUCUGCUGCCCACGCCCUGCCUUGAGUUCUGAAGGCUGAACCCAAGAGCUGGGAUUUGCCUGCUCUCCCUCUGUGCUUCCUUCAUGUCCCAGACAAGAAGGAGUGAGACAAGCCAAUAUUCAUUCCACCCUUUCUGAGCUGUUUUGCAUAGGGUCACACUCUCCAGCACCAUCUAUGCUGCGAGAAAUGACAGGACUUCGUCUUCUCUUGUAUCCAGUGUCCGUGGUGCACAUGAGCUCAGUCUGGUCCAGUCACGUAGCCUUGCCGGGCGAGGGCUCCUUUCAUCCUCAGGCCGUCAUGAAGGGUGCCGUGGAGAAGAACAGAGGAAUAUGCAUGUCCUUUCACGUUAGUCUCUGUAUGCUCUGGAUAGACACCGAGGAGUGAAAUCAUUGCAUUGGGGUUGAAUCUAUUUUCAGCUUCCCGAGAAGCCUCCACACUGAGUUUCCACACCAUGGGGACCACUGGCGUUGUCACCAGCAGCCUUGCCUUGCCUGUGACUUGCUUCUGGUCUCUGUGAGCUGGGCCGUUCUCUCAGGUCUGAGGUCACGGCUUGCGUGGUUUUGCUUUGCAUUUCCCUGGUAGUAGGUGGUGAAGAGUUUUGUCAGGGGCCUGUGGGCCAUGUGCCUGUCAUCUCCGGGCAAGUGUCUGUGCAGCUCUUGUGCUCAGGCCGAACCAUUGUCCAUGCCUGCUUGGGGGACAGAGGGACUGAGUGAAAACAGCACUGAACACUGUGUGUGUGUGUGUGUGUGUGUGUGUGUGUGUGUGUGUGUGUGUGUGUGUGUGUGUGUGUGUGUGUGUGUGACUCACUGUGUGUAUGUGACCGUGUGAGUGAAUGAGUGUGUGACUGUGAGUGUGUGUGUGAAUGAGUGCGUGACUGUGUGUGUGAGUAUGAGUGGCUGUGUGUUUGUGUGAGUGUGUGUGUGAGUCUGAUGUGAGUGUGUGUGUGUGUGAAUGAGUGAGUGCAUAACUGUGUGAGUAUGAGUGGCUGUGUGUUUGUGAAAUUGUGUGUAUAUGACCGUGUAAGUGAAUGAGUGUGUGAGUAUGAGUGGCUGUGUGUUUGUGAAAUUGUGUGUAUAUGACCGUGUAAGUGAAUGAGUGUGUGAGUAUGAGUGGCUGUGUGUUUGUGAGUGAGUGUGUGUG